AGACCCGAAACCCGGUGAUCUAGCCAUGGGCAGGUUGAAGGUUGGGUAACACUAACUGGAGGACCGAACCGACUAAUGUUGAAAAAUUAGCGGAUGACCUGUGGCUGGGGGUGAAAGGCCAAUCAAACCGGGAGAUAGCUGGUUCUCCCCGAAAGCUAUUUAGGUAGCGCCUCGUGAAUUCAUCUCCGGGGGUAGAGCACUGUUUCGGCUAGGGGGCCAUCCCGGCUUACCAACCCGAUGCAAACUGCGAAUACCGGAGAAUGUUAUCACGGGAGACACACGGCGGGUGCUAACGUCCGUCGUGAAGAGGGAAACAACCCAGACCGCCAGCUAAGGUCCCAAAGUCAUGGUUAAGUGGGAAACGAUGUGGGAAGGCCCAGACAGCCAGGAUGUUGGCUUAGAAGCAGCCAUCAUUUAAAGAAAGCGUAAUAGCUCACUGGUCGAGUCGGCCUGCGCGGAAGAUGUAACGGGGCUAAACCAUGCACCGAAGCUGCGGCAGCGACACUCAGGUGUUGUUGGGUAGGGGAGCGUUCUGUAAGUCUGCGAAGGUGGCCUGUGAGGGUUGCUGGAGGUAUCAGAAGUGCGAAUGCUGACAUAAGUAACGAUAAAGCGGGUGAAAAGCCCGCUCGCCGGAAGACCAAGGGUUCCUGUCCAACGUUAAUCGGGGCAGGGUGAGUCGACCCCUAAGGCGAGGCCGAAAGGCGUAGUCGAUGGGAAACGGGUUAAUAUUCCCGUACUUGGUGUUACUGCGAAGGGGGGACGGAGAAGGCUAUGUUGGCCGGGCGACGGUUGUCCCGGUUUAAGCGUGUAGGUGUGUGUUCCAGGUAAAUCCGGUUCACUUUAACACUGAGGCGUGACGACGAGGCACUACGGUGCUGAAGCAACAAAUGCCCUGCUUCCAGGAAAAGCCUCUAAGCAUCAGGUAACAUCAAAUCGUACCCCAAACCGACACAGGUGGUCAGGUAGAGAAUACCAAGGCGCUUGAGAGAACUCGGGUGAAGGAACUAGGCAAAAUGGUGCCGUAACUUCGGGAGAAGGCACGCUGACACGUAGGUGAAGUGAUUUACUCACGGAGCUGAAGUCAGUCGAAGAUACCAGCUGGCUGCAACUGUUUAUUAAAAACACAGCACUGUGCAAACACGAAAGUGGACGUAUACGGUGUGACGCCUGCCCGGUGCCGGAAGGUUAAUUGAUGGGGUCAGCGCAAGCGAAGCUCCUGAUCGAAGCCCCGGUAAACGGCGGCCGUAACUAUAACGGUCCUAAGGUAGCGAAAUUCCUUGUCGGGUAAGUUCCGACCUGCACGAAUGGCGUAAUGAUGGCCAGGCUGUCUCCACCCGAGACUCAGUGAAAUUGAACUCGCUGUGAAGAUGCAGUGUACCCGCGGCAAGACGGAAAGACCCCGUGAACCUUUACUAUAGCUUGACACUGAACAUUGAGCCUUGAUGUGUAGGAUAGGUGGGAGGCUUUGAAGUGUGGACGCCAGUCUGC
Molecule: ribosomal RNA, 1488 nt
Filed under: Salmonella enterica
Lineage: Bacteria; Pseudomonadati; Pseudomonadota; Gammaproteobacteria; Enterobacterales; Enterobacteriaceae
Description: partial 23S ribosomal RNA
Rfam family: Bacterial large subunit ribosomal RNA
Source: RNAcentral